This 752-nucleotide ribosomal RNA is filed under the name uncultured bacterium. Its description in RNAcentral is "bacterial SSU rRNA". It matches the Rfam family "Bacterial small subunit ribosomal RNA", at positions 8 to 796 of the family's 1533-position model. The record is from RNAcentral.
AGAGUUUGAUCAUGGCUCAGAACGAACGCUGGCGGCAGGCCUAACACAUGCAAGUCGAACGAGCUGGGACCUUCGGGUCCCGAUGCUAGUGGCGCACGGGUGAGUAACACGUGGGAAUCUACCCAAUAGUACGGAAUAACUGAGGGAAACUUUGGCUAAUACCGUAUACGCCCUUCGGGGGAAAGAUUUAUCGCUAUUGGAUGAGCCCGCGUCUGAUUAGGUAGUUGGUGAGGUAACGGCUCACCAAGCCGACGAUCAGUAGCUGGUCUGAGAGGAUGAUCAGCCACACUGGGACUGAGACACGGCCCAGACUCCUACGGGAGGCAGCAGUGGGGAAUAUUGGACAAUGGGCGCAAGCCUGAUCAAGCCAUGCCGCGUGAGUGAAGAAGGCCUUCGGGUUGUAAAGCUCUUUCGGCGGGGACGAUGAUGACGGUACCCGCAUAAGAAGCCCCGGCAAACUUCGUGCCAGCAGCCGCGGUAAUACGAAGGGGGCUAGCGUUGUUCGGAAUUACUGGGCGUAAAGCGAACGUAGGCGGUGUUCCAUGUCAGAGGUGAAAGCCUGGGGCUCAACUCCAGAAUUGCCUUUGAAACGGGAACGCUUGAGUCCGAGAGAGGAUGGCGGAAUUCCUAGUGUAGAGGUGAAAUUCGUAGAUAUUAGGAAGAACACCGGGCGAAGGCGGCCAUCUGGCUCGGUACUGACGCUCAGGUUCGAAAGCGUGGGGAGCAAACAGGAUUAGAUACCCUAGUAGUCC